RNAcentral lists this ribosomal RNA (1484 nucleotides) under metagenome. RNAcentral describes it as "bacterial SSU rRNA". It matches the Rfam family "Bacterial small subunit ribosomal RNA". The record is from RNAcentral.
AGAGUUUGAUCCUGGCUCAGGAUGAACGCUAGCGGCAGGCUUAAUACAUGCAAGUCGAGGGGCAGCAUGAGUAGCAAUACUUGAUGGCGACCGGCGCACGGGUGCGUAACGCGUAUGCAACUUGCCUUUGACAGGGGAAUAGCCCCGAGAAAUCGGGAUUAAUGCCCCAUAAUAUCACAGAUUCGCAUGUUUUUGUGAUUAAAGCUCCGGCGGUCAAAGAUGGGCAUGCGUGACAUUAGCUUGUUGGUGAGGUAACGGCUCACCAUGGCAACGAUGUCUAGGGGUCCUGAGAGGGUUAUCCCCCACACUGGUACUGAGACACGGACCAGACUCCUACGGGAGGCAGCAGUAAGGAAUAUUGGGCAAUGGACGCAAGUCUGACCCAGCCAUGCCGCGUGAAGGAUUGACGGCCCUAUGGGUUGUAAACUUCUUUUAUAUGGGAAAAAACCUCUGAACUAUUUCAGAGCUGAUGGUACCGUAUGAAUAAGCACCGGCUAACUCCGUGCCAGCAGCCGCGGUAAUACGGAGGGUGCGAGCGUUAUCCGGAUUUAUUGGGUUUAAAGGGUGCGUAGGCGGAAUUAUAAGUCAGUGGUGAAAUCUAACGGCUCAACCGUUAAACUGCCAUUGAUACUGUAAUUCUAGAGUUUAGCUGAAGUGGGCGGAAUGUAGCAUGUAGCGGUGAAAUGCAUAGAGAUGCUACAGAACUCCGAUUGCGAAGGCAGCUCACUAAACUACAACUGACGCUGAGGCACGAAAGCGUGGGUAGCGAACAGGAUUAGAUACCCUGGUAGUCCACGCCGUAAACGAUGAUCACUCGCUGUUGGCGAUACACUGUCAGCGGCUGAGCGAAAGUAUUAAGUGAUCCACCUGGGGAGUACGAUCGCAAGGUUGAAACUCAAAGGAAUUGACGGGGGCCCGCACAAGCGGAGGAGCAUGUGGUUUAAUUUGAUGAUACGCGAGGAACCUUACCUGGGCUCAAAUGUAGAACGACGGUUGCCGAAAGGUGACUUUCUUCGGACGGUCUGCAAGGUGCUGCAUGGUUGUCGUCAGCUCGUGCCGUGAGGUGUCGGGUUAAGUCCCAUAACGAGCGCAACCCCUAUUCUUAGUUGCCAGCAUGUAAUGAUGGGGACUCUAAGAAAACUGCCUACGCAAGUAGUGAGGAAGGUGGGGAUGACGUCAAAUCAGCACGGCCCUUAUGUCCAGGGCUACACACGUGCUACAAUGGUUGGUACAGAGGGCAGCUACCUGGUGACAGGAUGCUAAUCUCGAAAGCCAAUCUCAGUUCGGAUCGAAGUCUGCAACUCGACUUCGUGAAGUUGGAUUCGCUAGUAAUCGCAUAUCAGCAAUGAUGCGGUGAAUACGUUCCCGGGCCUUGUACACACCGCCCGUCACACCAUGGGAGUUGAUUUCACCCGAAGCGGGGAAGCUAAACUGGCUACCCUCCACGGUGGAAUUAGCGACUGGGGUGAAGUCGUAACAAGGUA